UCAUUGUCGAUACCUCAACCGAGCGAGACCCGCGAACAUGUUUCACCACUCGGGGAAGGCGACGCUGCCAUCCUCGAUCCGCCCGGGCGCUGCCACCUCGCGUGGCACCGUCUCGGCACCACAACAACAAAACCCCGGCGCGGAAAGCGCCAAGGAAGUCACAACUGUACAGCGCGCCCGAUGCACCCGGAGACGGUGUCCGUCGGGGCGCGUCGCAAAACACGAGUCCAAAAUGACUCUCGGCAACGGAUAUCUCGGCUCUUGCAUCGAUGAAGAACGUAGCGAAAUGCGAUACUUGGUGUGAAUUGCAGAAUCCCGUGAACCAUCGAGUCUUUGAACGCAAGUUGCGCCCGAAGCCAUUAGGCCGAGGGCACGCCUGCCUGGGUGUCACUAAACGCUGCCCCAACCCAAGCUACUCCUGCUAGGGACCGGGGCGAAUGGUGGCUUCCCGUGAGCCUCGGCUCGCGGCUGGCUGAAAAAUCGUUCGUGGUGGUGUGCAGCGCCAUGGUAGAUGGUGGUUGAGUUUAUCCUCGGGGCCAGCCAUGUGUGCCCGCACUGCCAGCCAUCAAGUGACCCUCUAGCGACAUCGAUCGCCCAUGUUGCGACCUCAGGUCAGGCGG
This 620-nucleotide ribosomal RNA is filed under the name Ormocarpopsis anosyana. RNAcentral describes it as "eukaryotic LSU rRNA". The stretch from base 235 to 390 matches the Rfam family "5.8S ribosomal RNA". Lineage: Eukaryota; Viridiplantae; Streptophyta; Magnoliopsida; Fabales; Fabaceae. The record is from RNAcentral.